AACGCGAAGAACCUUACCAGGUCUUGACAUCCAGAGAACUUUCCAGAGAUGGAUUGGUGCCUUCGGGAACUCUGAGACAGGUGCUGCAUGGCUGUCGUCAGCUCGUGUCGUGAGAUGUUGGGUUAAGUCCCGUAACGAGCGCAACCCUUGCCCUUAGUUGCCAGCGAGUAAUGUCGGGAACUCUAAGGGGACUGCCGGUGACAAACCGGAGGAAGGUGGGGAUGACGUCGAGUCAUCAUGGCCCUUACGACCUGGGCUACACACGUGCUACAAUGGGCGGUACAAAAGGUUGCCAAACCGCGAGGUGGAGCUAAUCCCAUAAAACCGUUCGUAGUCCGGAUUGGAGUCUGCAACUCGACUCCAUGAAGUCGGAAUCGCUAGUAAUCGUAAAUCAGAACGUUACGGUGAAUACGUUCCCGGGUCUGUACACACCG
RNAcentral lists this ribosomal RNA (434 nucleotides) under uncultured Gammaproteobacteria bacterium. RNAcentral's name for it is "bacterial SSU rRNA". It matches the Rfam family "Bacterial small subunit ribosomal RNA", at positions 958 to 1392 of the family's 1533-position model. The record is from RNAcentral. Lineage: Bacteria; Pseudomonadati; Pseudomonadota; Gammaproteobacteria.